CCCUACGGGGCCAGCAGUGGGGAAUAUUGCACAAUGGGGGAAACCCUGAUGCAGCGACGCCGCGUGAGUGAAGAAGUAAUUCGUUAUGUAAAGCUCUAUCAGCAGGGAAGAAACAGACGGUACCUGAGUAAGAAGCCCCGGCUAAAUACGUGCCAGCAGCCGCGGUAAUACGUAUGGAGCAAGCGUUAUCCGGAUUUACUGGGUGUAAAGGGAGCGCAGACGGCAGGGCAAGUCUGAUGUGAAAGUCCGGGGCUCAACCCCGGGACUGCAUUGGAAACUGUCCGGCUAGAGGGCAGGAGAGGUAA
RNAcentral lists this ribosomal RNA (305 nucleotides) under uncultured bacterium. RNAcentral's name for it is "bacterial SSU rRNA". It matches the Rfam family "Bacterial small subunit ribosomal RNA", at positions 335 to 660 of the family's 1533-position model. The record is from RNAcentral.